RNAcentral lists this long non-coding RNA (7459 nucleotides) under Lactuca sativa (garden lettuce). Its description in RNAcentral is "long non-coding RNA (LSAT_LNC002657)". Lineage: Eukaryota; Viridiplantae; Streptophyta; Magnoliopsida; Asterales; Asteraceae. The record is from RNAcentral.
AGGGCUUGGCCGAUUUUGAGGAGUGUGUGUUAUCUCAAGAGUCUUUCCAAGAGCAUUUGGUGUUGUGUGAAGCAUUUGAGGCAUCACACUUGGGGUGCUAGGCUCACAAGGUUUCAAGGAACACAAGCAACAACAAGGUAAGUUAUUCUAUCUAUGAUUCAAGUUAAAAUUGUUCCCCAUGUAUGCUAGAUAGGAAUAUAACCUUGGAAUUCAACUUUGCAUGAUAAUUAGACAAACAUAGAUCCAAGGUUAUUAGGGUUGCAUGUACACUUAGGAAGUGUUAGAAUGCUCAAAACCCAUCAGUGGUAUCAGAGCCUAGGCUUGUUUGUUUGUUAUUUGUGCUUAAAAGUUGAAGAAAGUCGAAAAUUCUGCUGUCUGACUGAUGGACUCGGCGAGUCCAUGGGGAGGACUCGUCGAGUUCAUGUGUAUCUUCAACCUACUCGGCGAGUAGGUUUAUGCACUCGGCGAGUAGGGUCGACAGAGUGCAGAAUUUCGACUUGAGUUGCUGGAAAUGGAUUAGAAUCAUUACCCUAAAAUGUUUUGGUACUUGAAAACUUAUUUUAGAAGGUGUAAUGUCUUUUCUAACUCAUUUACAACAACUAGUUAUCAAAAUUACAAAGAUUAAAUGUGAUUUUGAUUCUUGAAAGUGUUCAUAUUCAUAUUCUUGUUCUUAUGAUGUUUAGAUGAUCAUAGGAAUUAUUUGUAACCUAUGUGGUAGAUUAAUUCAUGAUCAUAAUGUGUUUUAAUGGAGUCCAUAACUUGUCCUCAAGUUAUGGAAAACCAAAAGUCUCUUGGAUUAAAAACCAUUAAAAGAACACAAGAGUUAGGAAAAAUGAAAAGUCCUCAUUUUAUUACUCUAUUAAACUCAUAAGUUACAAGAAAUGAAAAGUUUUGAAAGUUUACAAAACUUGCCCUCAAGUUUUGGAACAAGUAAAGUUAAGUUAAAACUUUAGUUCCAACCCCUAGAAUUUUAAAAGUUAAAAUUCAACCCUUAUACUUAUAUUAUUAUGAUUUAAUAAUUAUAUAUAUAUGUAUAAGAACAAAGUCGUCUUACCGCUAGUACGCCUCAUUCACGAAGCCGGUCUAUAAGGUGGGUAUAAGGUUGUUGCCUAUAAAAUGGUGACUUAAUGGGUGUCCACUCUCACCCACCGCUUGCUUGAUCGGUGGAGGGUCGUUAGCCGAACGGGUAAGACAAGGACUUAUUAAUUCUCAUUCAAAGUAUGAUGAAUAUUAUAAAGUAACUAAAUGUUUUAUUAAAUUCCCAAUCUUAGUUACUUUAGGAAAAAUGUGAAUAAGGUGCUAUUCCAUGAAAUUACACUUUACACUUUGAUUAAGUCGUUGGUGGAGCGUGUGUGGUUAACCGGCACACUAACUUGGACUUAACAAGGUAGGUAAAGGGUGACUUAGGGUUUAUUAUAGUAUCGAUGGAGCGUGUGUGGUUAACCGGCACAUCGAUUGAGUGAUAAACUUUAAGGGUACCAAGUGAUUUGCAUGGUUACUUCACACCUCGUUUUGUGAUCCUCGGUAUCCCAGUCACAAAACUUGGAGGGCACACUCGAGAUUGAAACAUGCCUUUGAAAAGUUCAUUGAAUCUCAAAGAAUCUAGGAAUUUCUAAGAACCAUUCAAAAACCUAAUACUAAAAUAUUGCGGUUUUCGUGGUGGAAAUUGGUGAAUCGUCAUUCACCUACCUUUCAAAUAUGAUAUAGCUUAGAUUACGGCAUACCUCUUCUAAGUUAUAUUAUAUUGUGAUUGGAUCCUAGCCUUAAUAUUACAUUUGGGUGUUUUAUUAAGGACUCUCUUAUAUCUAAACUAAUCUUGUCCUCUUUCCUUCAGAUGUCUUUCAACAAUGCUUCUGGCUCUAAUCCUAAUGGCUCCUUUACCCUUAUGAACUUGUGUGGGAAAGUCACCUUUGAUGGAUCCAACUUCAAUGAGUGGAUCAGAAACAUCAGGAUGAUUACCCGCUACGAGGACAAAGAAUAUGUCCUUGACAAGGAGCUUAAGGAGAUUGAUGAGUCCACUGCAACUCCUCAGGAGAUCGCUGAAUUUCGGGCACAUGAAAGGGAUGCUACGAAAGUGGCUUGCAUCAUGAUGGCCACGAUGACAGCGGAACUCCAAAAGUCUUAUGAGGAUUUCUACCCUUAUGACAUGCACCAAGAUUUGAUGGAAAGAUACCAUCAAAGUGCAAGACAAGAGAGGUAUGAAAUCAUCUGCUCCAUGAUAACAACCAUGAUGAAGGACGGGGAAUCCGUCACGAGCCACAUGCAGAAAAUGCAAAGGUAUGUGGAUCGUUUGCUGAAGCUUAAUGUGAACUUCCCGGAGGAUCUUGCAAUAGAUAUUAUUUUGCAUUCCUUACCAUCGUGCUAUGAUCAAUUCCGCAUGACAUAUCACAUGAACAAGGAAGAAGUCACCCUCAGCAAACUUCAGGGACUUCUCAAGACCGCAGAAACAGGUCUUAAGGGGAAGUCGGUUGCUAUCACUCCUACUCAAAACUCUACUCCGGUUUUGGCAAUCGGGAAAAGUCGAGGGAGGAAGAGAAAGAGCUCUUCUAAGGGUACCAAGGCUCGGACCCUUGAUGGCUCUUCUUCAAGUGGAACCAAGAAAGGUUUCGUUACUCCUUCUUCUGACCCAAAAGAGGCUGAAUGCUUCUAUUGCCAUGAAAAAGCUCAUUGGAAGCGGAACUGCCCAAAAUACCAGCAAGAUGUGAAGGAUGGGAAAGUUAAACCCAACCAUGCAGGUAUUUACACUAUCAUUUCUAAUAACUCACCCCAUUCUAAUUCUUGGGUCCUUGAUACCGGGUGUGGUAUUCACAUUUGUUGUGACUUGCAGGGACUAAGAAGAAGUGAGGAUGUGGAGCAAGGAAGGAUAAACUUGAUCAUGGGGAAUAGGAAAGCUAUACCUGUUACCAAGAUUGGAGUUUAUACUUUAUCGCUAAGUAGUGGGUUUAGUUUAGAUUUGAAUAAGUGUUGUUAUUCGCCAGGAAUGGCAAGAAAUAUUAUUUCCUUUCAUGCUUUGUACAAACAAGGGUUUACCUUUUCAUUUAAUAAUGAAGUUGGUUCUAUAGAUGUUUUCUAUAAUAAUGUCUUUUAUUUUAAAGCAUUACCUUGUGAUGGUGUGUAUGAAGCUGUAUCUGUUGUAGAUAACUUGGGAAAUAAUGUUUUGUGUAUUGAUUCUACUAAUAAUAACUUGGAUAAAGCAUCUUUAUGGCAUUGUCGUCUUGGACAUAUAAGCAAGAAACGCAUAGGCCAACUCCAAAAGGAUGGAGUCUUGGAGUCGUUUGACCUAAAGUCAGAUGAUAGUUGCGAAUCAUGCUUACUUGGAAAAAUGACAAAGUCACCCUUCACAGGUUCGUGUGAGAGGGGUGAAGGUUUGUUGGACCUUAUACACACGGAUGUGUGUGGACCAUUCAAACAUGCCACAAGGGAUGCUAAUCGUUAUUAUUUGACUUUUACUGAUGAUUAUAGUAGAUAUGGAUAUGUCUACUUGAUCAAGCAUAAGUCAGAGACUUUCGAGAGGUUUAAGGAAUUUAAACAGGAAGUCGAGAAUCAAUUGGGCAGGAACAUUAAGAUGCUUCGAUCCGAUCGUGGUGGUGAGUAUCUUAGUUCAGAGUUCCUCGACUAUCUAAGGGAAUGUGGGAUAGUCUCACAAUUGACACCUCCCAGGACACCACAGUUGAAUGGUGUGGCUGAGAGGCGUAAUCGAACCUUGUUAGAUAUGGUUCGUUCCAUGAUGAGUCGAGCUACGCUACCAAUCUCAUUCUGGGGGUAUGCCUUAGAGACUGCCGCCCAUAUUCUUAAUCUAGUCCCUACAAAGAAAGUUGCCAAAACUCCUCACGAGAUGUGGACUGGUAAAGUACCUAAACUAGACCACAUCAAGAUUUGGGGUUGCGAGGCUUUCGUGAGACGCGAGACUCAUGAUAAGCUCGAACCUCGAAGCGAGAGGUGUAUUUUCAUCGGUUACCCACAGCGAUCCUUUGGUUACCUCUUCUACAGACCUAGUGACAAUGUGGUCUUUGUAGCAAGAAGAGGAGUCUUUCGAGAAAGAGAGUUUAUAAGCCAAGGAGACAGUGGGAGGCAAAUUGAUCUUGAAGAAAUUCAAGAAUCAAGCGGUGAAGGAACUUCAAACUCUAGCCCUCAACUUGAGGAGGAAACUCCUGUUGAGCCAAUUGACAAAUCUGUACCUCUGAGACGUUCCACGAGAGUUAGGAGUGCACCUGAGCAUUACUAUGGAUUCCAUAUUACUGCAGAAGGUGAGACACUUAUUAGUGAUGAGACACUAGUAAGUCAAGAUGACCCUAACAGCUACGAGGAAGCCAUGGCAGGCCCCGAGUCUGCUAAAUGGAAAGAGGCUAUGGAUAGCGAGAUACAAUCCAUGUAUGACAAUCAAGUUUGGAACUUGGUUGAAAAUGUACCAGGUCGUAAGACAGUAGGGUGCAAAUGGGUCUUCAAGAAGAAGACCGACAUGGAUGGUAAAGUACACACUUAUAAGGCUAGACUGGUUGCAAAGGGCUUCUCUCAAAUUCCUGGAGUGGAUUAUGAUGAGACCUUUUCUCCGGUAGCCAAGAUUAAGUCUAUUCGGGUUCUGUUAGCCAUAGCUGCAUUUCAUGACUAUGAAAUAUGGCAGAUGGAUGUCAAAACCGCUUUCCUUAAUGGAAAGUUGGCUGAAGAUGUUUACAUGAGUCAGCCAGAGGGUUUUGUCAGCAACGAGUACCCUAAUAGAGUGUGUAAGCUUGAGAAAUCCAUUUAUGGAUUGAAGCAAGCACCUCGCAGAUGGAAUCUUUGCUUUGAUGAAAAGGUCAAGGAAUUUGGCUUUUCUAGGAGUGAAGAUGAAUCUUGUGUGUAUGUCAAGGCUAGUGGGAGUAUAGUUAGCUUUUUGGUAUUGUAUGUGGAUGACAUACUACUCAUAGGAAACGACAUUCCAACCCUGCAGGAAGUAAAGUCCUGGCUUGGGAAGUGUUUCGCUAUGAAGGACCUUGGUGAAGCUGCCUAUAUUCUAGGGAUAAGAAUCUUGAGAGAUCGGAGUAAAAGACUAAUUGGACUUAGUCAGAGUACCUACUUGGAUAAGGUGCUGAAGAGAUUCAGCAUGCAGGAUUCCAAGAAAGGAGAGUUACCCAUCCAGAGUAACACCAGAUUGAGUAAGACACAAAGCCCUAGCACUGAGGCUGAGAUAGCAGAAAUGAGUCGAACACCUUACGCUUCGGCUGUAGGAUCGAUCAUGUAUGCUAUGACGUGUACUCGACCCGAUGUAGCUUUUGCCUUGAGCAUGGUUAGCAGGUAUCAGGCGAACCCUGGCAAGGCACACUGGACUGCGGUAAAGAAUAUCCUCAAGUACCUACGGAGGACUAAGGACUGGGUCCUUACCCUCGGUGGGAGUGAUGACUUGAGAGUUGUAGGGUAUAGUGAUGCUAGCUUCCAGACUGAUAGGGAUAAUUUCCGCUCUCAGUCGGGCUGGGUCUUUACCCUAAACGGAGGAGCAAUUUCUUGGAAGAGUUCCAAGCAAGAGACAGUGGCAGAUUCUACUUGUGAAUCAGAGUAUAUUGCAGCUAGUGAAGCAGCAAAGGAGGCGAUAUGGCUGAAGAACUUCAUUGGAGACCUUGGAGUUGUACCAGCUAUUAAAGAGCCAAUGGAAAUUUUCUGUGAUAGUGAAAGUGCUGUUGCCUUAGCCAAGGAACCAAGGGAUCAUGGGAGAUCCAGACACAUCGACAGAAAAUACCAUUUCAUUAGACAUCGGAUCGAAGAAGGACUCCUCGUGGCAAAGAGGGUAUCAUCGGAUGAGAACCCAGCAGAUCCCCUCACGAAGGGACUGAGUAGGGUUAAGCAUCUCCAGCAUGCUCGGAGCAUAGGGCUGAAGGAUGAUAUAAGUUUUAGUAGUUAGAUAACCCAGAAAUUUGUAAAGUGUAAUUGACAUUUGAUGAUGAAUAAAAGGUGUUUUAUUUAUGAGUAAAGUGUUGCUAUCUCUUGUCGAUCGUUUACUAUAUUUCUUUUGCAUGUUUUGACUUCCAGAAUAAUUUUGUUUGGUAUAACAUAUUAUUCAAACCUCCACAGUCGGUCAUAUGUUGGAAGUAGAUAUGAAUCAAGACUGUCAUGUUUGGUUGUAGAGGUCUUGGACAAGGCUACAACAAUCAUGAGUGCUCAUAAGUUCUGAGCAUUGGACUCAACCCACGCUCACUGGAAUCACUUCAUGGAAUUCUAUCUCGAGUGAUCGUGAGACGGUAAUAUCAUAUAAGUCUUCAAACCUAGAGAUAUGAUUUGUUACUUACAAGUUGGUUAUGCAUUGACUGUACGAAACCGCAUUGGUAACUCGAUGUUAUAAAACGUACUUUUGUGUGUAAUUCAAUGAGUGGUAGAACAAACAUAUGAGUCGAAGUUUAUCUGUUCCUUCUUGGAUUAGAAGCUGAUAUCUGGGCCCCUCGAUGAUUUUGUUUUGACCCAUGUACCGGGCCCGGUCAGAACUAAGUUGAUGUGUUCAAUUAAGUUCUAUGUCAAACAAAUCGGAAAUCGGGAAACAAAUGCUGGACAAUAAGCAAGACAAUGUUCCAUGUAUUUGUCCGGCUGAUAUCUAGAACGGAGGAUUAUAUGAUCACUUAUCUUAAAUGGCGUACCAUCAUCUUCUCAGUUCCGAGAGACCUUGAAAGAGCUACGAUUGCCGGUCGGUUCCUGAAGUACUAGAGAUAUAGUUAUUAGACUUAUCCAAGUGGGAGACUGUUGGAUAAGGUGUCUAAGUCCAUAACUAUUUCGGGCUUGUACUUGACCCGACCCGGCAUGGUCCAUUUGGGUUGCAUGGCACCAUGCAAUUGGAUAGACUAAAUGAGAGAAAUAACACUUGGAGAUUAUUAAUAUAUUAUAAGUUCUAAUAUAUUAAUAAUAUUAUUUGAUUAGUUGAUCAAAGAAUUAAUUUGGAAUUAAUUAAGUGAUCAAAGGAUAACUAAUUAAAUAUAUGGGUUGAUUAUGUAAAUCAUCCAUAUCUUGUAUAGUGGGCUAAGAGGCUCCAUGGAUUAUCAAGUUGGGUUCUACCCAUAGGAUGCUCCAUGGAUGCUCCAUGGGAGUUACAAACCCAUGGGUCAUGGAAAUGAAGAGUCAUGAUACAUUAGGGUUUACAUGGUGUAACCCUAGAUGUGUCAACACUAUAUAAGGAUCAUAUUCUCCACCAAAAUCGGCUACACAAGUUAGACAAGGAAACUAGAGGGCUUGGCCGAUUUUGAGAAGUGUGUGUUAUCUCAAGAGUCUUUCCAAGAGCAUUUGGUGUUGUGUGAAGCAUUUGAGGCAUCACACUUGGGGUGCUAGGCUUACAAGGUUUCAAGGAACACAAGCAACAACAAGGUAAGUUAUUCUAUCUAUGACUCAAGUUAAAAUUGUUCCCCAUGUAUGCUAGAUAGGAAUAUAACCUUGGAAUUCAACUUUGCAUGAUAAUUAGACAAACAUAGAUCCAAGGUUAUUAGGGUUGCAUGUACACUUAGGAAGU